UACAGAGACUGCAAGCGUUACUCGGAAUCACUGGGCGUAAAGGGAGCGCAGGCGGAACGGUGUGUCGGAUGUGAAACCCGGGGGCUCAACUCCCGGACUGCGUCUGAAACUGCCGUUCUAGGGACUCGGAGGGGCUAGUGGAAUUCCUGGUGGAGCAGUGAAAUGCGUAGAUAUCAGGAGGAACACCAACGGCGAAGGCAGCUGGCUGGACGAGAUCCGACGCUCAGGCUCGAAAGUAUGGGGAGCAAAAAGG
Molecule: ribosomal RNA, 253 nt
Filed under: uncultured bacterium
Lineage: Bacteria
Description: partial 16S ribosomal RNA
Rfam family: Bacterial small subunit ribosomal RNA
Source: RNAcentral